Transfer RNA from Loxodonta africana (African savanna elephant), 71 nucleotides. It matches the Rfam family "tRNA". From Rfam's summary of the family: Transfer RNA (tRNA) molecules are approximately 80 nucleotides in length. Their secondary structure includes four short double-helical elements and three loops (D, anti-codon, and T loops). The record is from Rfam. Lineage: Eukaryota; Metazoa; Chordata; Mammalia; Proboscidea; Elephantidae.
GCAAUGGUGGUUCAGUGGCAGAAUUCUUGCCUUUCAUGCAGGGGAUCUGGGUUCGAUUCCCAGCCAUUGCA